CCCCUAGAUGUUCUGAGCCGCACGCGCGCUACACUGAACAGUUCAACAAGUCUUAACCUUGGCCGAUAGGUCUGGGUAAUCUUUGAACGCUGUUCGUGAUUGGGAUAGACCUUUGCAAUUAUGGGUCUUCAACGAGGAAUUCCUAGUAAACGCAAGUCAUCAGCUUGCAUUGAUUACGUCCCUGCCCUUUGUACACACCGCCCGUCGCACCUACCGAUUGAAUGGUCCGGUGAAAUCUCGGGACGGCGGCUUGGUCGCUUGCGUCCGACUGCUGAAACUUGAUUAAACCAUAUCAUUUAGAGGAAGGUGAANUCGUAACA
This 320-nucleotide ribosomal RNA is filed under the name uncultured eukaryote. RNAcentral describes it as "partial 18S ribosomal RNA". It matches the Rfam family "Eukaryotic small subunit ribosomal RNA", at positions 1470 to 1796 of the family's 1831-position model. The record is from RNAcentral.